GGGGGUUCAAAAUACCAUGGCUAAGUAAAAUUUUACAAAUAUCUUUUCCAGUUUAUUUAAUACAUACAAACUACUUAUUGGAGUAAUAUAACUAUGUUAAGGAUUUAGAAUAGCUUGAAUUUUUUAAAUUCAAGGUCUAUAGUAGGGGGUUCAAUAUACCGCAGGGGGUCAAAAUACCAUGGCUAAGUAAAAUUUUACAAAAUAUCUUUUCCAGUAUAUUAAAUACAUACAAACUACUUAUUGGAGUAAUAUAACUAUGUUAAGGAGUUAGAAUAGCUUGAAUUUUUGAAAUUCAAGGUCUAUAGUAGGGGGUUCAAUAUACCGCAGGGGGGUCAAAAUACCAUGGCUAAGUAAAAUUUUCAAAAUAUCUUUUCCAGUUUAUUUAAUACAUACAAACUACUUAUUGAAGUAUUAUAACUAUGUUAAGGAGUUAGAAUAGCUUGAAUUUUUGAAAUUCAAGGUCUAUAGUAGGGGGUUCAAUAUACCGCAGGGGUCAAAAUACC
Molecule: long non-coding RNA, 503 nt
Filed under: Mytilus galloprovincialis (Mediterranean mussel)
Lineage: Eukaryota; Metazoa; Mollusca; Bivalvia; Mytilida; Mytilidae
Source: RNAcentral